RNAcentral lists this ribosomal RNA (890 nucleotides) under uncultured bacterium. RNAcentral's name for it is "bacterial SSU rRNA". It matches the Rfam family "Bacterial small subunit ribosomal RNA", at positions 8 to 916 of the family's 1533-position model. The record is from RNAcentral.
AGAGUUUGAUCCUGGCUCAGGAUGAACGCUGGCGGCGUGCCUAACACAUGCAAGUCGAACGAUACCCUGUCUUCGGAUUGGGUAUAGUGGCGAACGGGUGAGUAACACGUUGGUGACCUGCCCCGAAGACGGGAAUAACCCUUCGAAAGGAGGGCUAAUACCCGAUGUGCUUGUGCUGUUUAGAAGAGUGCAAGUAAAGCUCCGGCGCUUCGGGAGGGGCCAGCGGCCUAUCAGCUAGUUGGUGAGGUAAUGGCUCACCAAGGCGAAGACGGGUAGGGGGCGUGAGAGCGUGACCCCCCACAAUGGAACUGAGACACGGUCCAUACUCCUCCGGGAGGCAGCAGUGAGGAAUAUUGCACAAUGGGGGAAACCCUGAUGCAGCAACGCCGCGUGGGUGAAGAAGGCUUUCGGGUCGUAAAACCCUUUUCCAGGGGAAGAGCAAGGACGGUACCCUGGGAAUAAGUCCCGGCUAACUACGUGCCAGCAGCCGCGGUAAAACGUAGGGGGCGAGCGUUAUCCGGAAUUACUGGGCGUAAAGCGCGUGCAGGCGGCUUGGUAGGUUGGACGUGAAAGCUCCUGGCUUAACUGGGAGAGGCCGUUCAAAGCCGCCAGGCUUGAGGACGGAAGAGGGGAGUGGAAUUCCCGGUGUAGUGGUGGAAUGCGUAGAUAUCGGGAGGAACACCUGUGGCGAAAGCGGCUCCCUAGUCCGUAUCUGACGCUCAGACGCGAAAGCGUGGGGAGCGAACGGGAUUAGAUACCCCGGUAGUCCACGCUGUAAACGAUGGAUGCUAGGUGUGGGAGGUCUUGACCCCUUCCGUGCCGUAGCUAACGCGUUAAGCAUCCCGCCUGGGGACUACGGCCGCAAGGUUAAAACUCAAAGGAAUUGACGG